This is a long non-coding RNA of Vidua macroura (Pin-tailed whydah), 1032 nucleotides long. RefSeq lists it as uncharacterized. The record is from RefSeq and is a predicted model, not a curated record. The transcript is spliced from 5 exons. Lineage: Eukaryota; Metazoa; Chordata; Aves; Passeriformes; Viduidae.
GCCGUGCCCGGUGUGCUCCCUCUGCCUCGAGUGCUCCUGCAGCCCCGUCCCGCCGCCGCGGGGCCGGGCGGCGUGGAGAGCGUGCCAUAAAGUGCUGAGACCAAGCAGUCCUUAGGAGCAGGAGCAUUAUUGGUGUAUUGUGUGUGGUUACGUGUGCGCUGGGUAUGGAUAUAGCCUCUCUCCUUGAUUGGCACCAGCCAGCUGUGAAUUCAUAACGAGUGCAAGUGCUUUGCCUUCUCACUUCCAAGGAAGUGCUCUGCCCUGAGCUCCCACCUCAAGCGUUGAAUUACUGUGGGUCACUUUUGUGCUUCCUGCCGUGGCGGGGCGGAUUAUGAGGAGCAUUGCCAGCAGGCAACAAGGAGGCCUGAAGGCCUUUGGCUCAUAACCAACGCUGACGUUGCAGUGUGGAGCUACAGGAGCGCCUGCAGCUCAGGAGAAGGAGUGCCCUGCGCUGAGGUUUAUCACCAAGGUGACUUCUAACAUUCACACUACAAACUGAGGACAGACUGCACUGAUAAACUUCCUUUAUGUCCAGAUGUCUUUUUCUGGAGCACAGGAACACCUGGCUGCUGGAGUCCAGUCUGACAACUACAGCCAACCACGAACAGAUGCUUAGUUGAGGACAGAACUACACCAGGAGCCACUGUGUGCUCACGAGAACACGGAGGUAUUAUCCCAAAGAUACAUAACAAACACAAAACCUCAAGUUAAAACAGAAGAGAGACACAAGUCAUGAUGCCUGGAAAGGAAGAGGAUGGGAGUGGUGGUUUCUUUGUGCUCUGAGCCCCUGCAGUGGCAGAGGUGUACUGGGUGGGACAGCUUAGAAGGCAUCCAGAUGUCUUCCUUUCACAAAACCUCCUGUGGUUCCUGCUGAGGUCCUGUGGGUGUGACUGGUUAUUGUAAUUGGAGUAAUUCUGAGAAAGUUAGAAGGUGUGAAGCCAUUUCAGCUAGUGUGGUGCCUCACACCAAUUCUGUAGUUCUGCCUUGUUCAGAAGUUAAUAAAUAAAAUGGCACCUUAGUUUUACAAAACCA